Long non-coding RNA from Artibeus jamaicensis (Jamaican fruit-eating bat), 881 nucleotides. RefSeq lists it as uncharacterized. The transcript is spliced from 4 exons. NCBI's taxonomy places the organism in Eukaryota, Metazoa, Chordata, Mammalia, Chiroptera, Phyllostomidae. The record is from RefSeq and is a predicted model, not a curated record.
UUCUCUUCCUCUGGAAAGAAACAGGACUGGACUUGGAGAUGAGACACCGGAGGGGUGGCUGCGUCUGUUGCGUGGAGUAAGGCCGUUUUCUGGCCAUUCGGCGGCGCGGGUGACAGCAGCGUCCUAGUACAAAUGCAUGUUGGCGGGCUAGAUUUCAAAGGAUGCGGCGGGAGACCGGAGCUUAGGAGAGGUGUUGGCGUGUCCGUGGGAGAGUCGGCGCAACCAGCGACCUAGGUCUCGUCCUAACUUAUUGUGCUCAGCUUUCUCAGUCUUGUUUGAAAAACGAGCAAGGAGCAGUGAUGGAGAUCGACGUGAAAUGGUGAAAUAAACGGAGCAAAGCUUAAUUUUUUUAAUUUAGUAGGUGAUUGCUUCUCGGCCUUUUGGGGAAGGGAUGUAACGUGAGCGCCUGUACGAACCCAGGUAUUCUGUCUCAGCGACUCCUGCUAGAGGAGGCAUCAGCAUCUGUUGCACUAACUUGGAGACACGCCGUCGGUAUACAUGCAUUAGACAGGAAGGCGACCAGAAAUCGAGGACCUUGUUCAGGAAGGAGGAGGAGAGGACCUUUCCUGCAGUGCAGACCUCCGUGGGUUCAGGAAGUUACUGGAUUGCAGGUUGGAGGUGAAUCCUGUCCCUUGUUGAAGUUUAGUUUCAGCAGAUUAUUUGUGAUAAGAAAUCACAGUAUUCACAGAAAACAAAAGUUUGAUUGCUUCUGUUCUUGACCUUUCCUUUUGUAGAAUAUGAGAAACAGUGUAAACAAACAUUCUUUAUGGUCACUAAUGGUGAUGCUUGAAAUUGGUCCUCAGCCUUGCUUAAAUUAACUGGAUUUUAAAUGUCAAAGCCCCUUCUGCAUGUUUUCCUUGGUCAAAUAAAAUUUUACUAAA